Molecule: ribosomal RNA, 486 nt
Filed under: Enterobacteriaceae bacterium 'ARUP UnID 301'
Lineage: Bacteria; Pseudomonadati; Pseudomonadota; Gammaproteobacteria; Enterobacterales; Enterobacteriaceae
Description: bacterial SSU rRNA
Rfam family: Bacterial small subunit ribosomal RNA
Source: RNAcentral
UUGAACGCUGGCGGCAGGCCUAACACAUGCAAGUCGAGCGGCAGCGGAAAGUAGCUUGCUACUUUGCCGGCGAGCGGCGGACGGGUGAGUAAUGUCUGGGAAACUGCCUGAUGGAGGGGGAUAACUACUGGAAACGGUAGCUAAUACCGCAUAACGUCGCAAGACCAAAGAGGGGGACCUUCGGGCCUCUUGCYAUCAGAUGUGCCCAGAUGGGAUUAGCUAGUAGGUGGGGUAACGGCUCACCUAGGCGACGAUCCCUAGCUGGUCUGAGAGGAUGACCAGCCACACUGGAACUGAGACACGGUCCAGACUCCUACGGGAGGCAGCAGUGGGGAAUAUUGCACAAUGGGCGCAAGCCUGAUGCAGCCAUGCCGCGUGUAUGAAGAAGGCCUUCGGGUUGUAAAGUACUUUCAGCGGGGAGGAAGGUGCUGAGGUUAAUAACCUCAGCAAUUGACGUUACCCGCAGAAGAAGCACCGGCUAACUCC